Long non-coding RNA from Nyctereutes procyonoides (raccoon dog), 4711 nucleotides. RefSeq lists it as uncharacterized. The record is from RefSeq and is a predicted model, not a curated record. Lineage: Eukaryota; Metazoa; Chordata; Mammalia; Carnivora; Canidae. The transcript is spliced from 3 exons.
CCACCCCGGUAUUCGGGAAGAUUGGGGGCCGCCGCCUGUGUUGUUCGAUAUGAGACCAAAAGUCCUUAUUUUUGUCGUUUUCACAGGUGACGGUAAAGAAUCUGCGUACAGGGAAGGUGUGGGUUAUUUGCUGAAGGCCGCACAGCCAGGGAGUUAGCAGCUGUGCCAUGGUAUCUGACACCUAGUUUUGAUUUUAUUUAUUCCUGAUAGAGAGAGAGAGAGAGGGACAGAGACACGGGCAGCGGGAGAAGCAGGCUCCAUGCCAGGAGCCCGACGCGGGACUCGAUCCCAGGACCCCAGGAUCACACCCCGGGUCAAAGGCAGGCGCCAAACCACUGAGCCACCCAGGGAUCCCAGGAAACUACCUUUUUAUCUUUGGUCUAUCAGUCUUUUUUUCAGAGUUGUAUCACGUAAAGCAUUCACCUUCAGAUGGCUUCUUGGAAGCUGAAAAACAGAAGGACUAUCUGCUUUGCCCCAAAUUUUCCUGAUCCCUUCAGGCAUCAGUUGGGGACCCCGCUUUGUGUUGGUACCCAUCUGUGGGUGAGGCAGCUGAGGGGGGCAGGAGGGAGGCUGCUCUGUGUCUUCCCCCUUACUGCAUGUGCUACUGUUCCUGAGGCCUGGCUUGAAAAAAGCCCAGGACAUUCGGUUUAGACAGAUGGAGGGCAGGGUCAUUUUCAAAACGAAAUGAGUGCACAAAUCACACUGUGAAAUUGGCAUGACCAUCACUGCUGCUGUGAUAGACUGACUUUUAUUUAGUCUCUGAUAGGCAGUUGGGGAAUAGAUUAGUUUUUUUUUUUUGAGGUGGGGCGAAAAGAAGGCCCAUUAAUUAAUGAUAGAAAUUCUGGAAAGCAGUAAAUGGGAUGGAAUAUUAUAAAAUGUCAUAAAGGCUCAUUUUGUUUCCAAAAAUCUUGAAAACUGGAGCAUGUAUCAAAAGGUAAAUGUACCAUUCUGAACAAUAAGAAAACAUUUGGUGGUUUCAAUAAGAUGAUUUAGUGCCUUGUUGAAAGAAACCAGGCUUUGAGAAAAUGGUGUUGGACUUGAUGGAUUUUGCUGCAUAAGGAAGGGACGUUUACCAUGUAGAAGAAUUUCAUUUGCAAAAUGUGUAGGAGCUAAAAGUGUGACGUUUGGUUCCUCAUAUGUUUAUGUUUCUGCCUGCCAGAAUCAGAGAUGAUCAAAUCCUGUUCUGUUUGUAUGUAUAAUCUUUUCGCUAUUGGCUUGUAAAACAGUUGGAAGGUGGGAUUUCUUAUUUAUCCUGCAAGUGUGAUCCUUUCCUGUUGGUAAAGUCGUCAUUUCUGAACAUUUCAACUACCACAGCUCUGGGCAGACAUCUUCCUUGAUAACGGAAGACCUUCUGCAAAAACAUUUGCCAGGUGUUCUUUCUGUUUUCCUGUCAUUGCAGGACAUUUUCUUCAGGAUGGCCAGUUUCAGGGGCUCAGUUGCCUUGUUUCCUCUCAACAAUAAACAGGGAAAAAGAAUAAGUUACUGCCAAAUUGGCAAUGGAAUUGACUUUUAGGAGCAUCUGUUCAGUCUUUUAAUACUUUUGGAAAGGUUGCAUACCAAAUCAACACUUGGGGACAUUUAUGCUCAGAUAGUAAGCCAUUUAGUCUCAUUGUGAACUCUCUUUUUGCUGGUAGUUUCAGCUUUAUUAAUAUUUUAUUUUUUUAAAGAUUUUAUUUAUUUAUUUAUUUAUGAGAGACAGAGAGAGAGAGAGAGAGAGAGAGAGGCAGAGACACACGCAGAAGGAGAAGCAGGCUCCAUACAGGGAGCCCGACGUGGGACUCGAUCCCAGGUCUCCAGGAUCAGCCCUGAGCUGAAGGCGGCGCUAAACUGCUGAGCCACCCAGGGAUCCCCAGCUUUAUUAAUAUUUUAAUUAGAUUUCCUUCUUGGAUAUACCUUUUUUUUUUUAUCAAGUAGCUUAUAUUUGAGUGCUUACAGUGUUAUUAUCUAAAUUAACUUAUCAGGGAGAACACAAUAGCAUUAUAGUUUUAUAAGUGGAAUUAGUAGAGAAGGAACAACUGUGGAUACUGGCAUUUAAGGAAAGCAGCCAACCAUCCAAACAAAGAGCUACUCUAAGCCUCGUGUUUAUGCAGUACUCUCUGUACCAGAACCAGGUCCUGCUUUGCCUAACUUCCCUCAUUAAUCCUCACAGCCCUUCUGUGAAUUAGGUGACUCUUAACCCUUGGCCCCAUUGGAAAAUCCUGGGCUGCAAAGCACAAAAAGCAGCCUGUGGCUGCUGCAGCCAGCACGUGGGGACUGGCAAUUGCUUCGGCUGGCCAGUAGGGGCCAUACUGCACCUCUUCGCUCGCUCCCCCUAGGUACCUCCUCUCCAGUCAUUGGAAUUGGCUUUGGAUCAUUUGCUGCAGUUUGUUCUAAUAGAACAGACACAAUGGUGUAAGAAUUUUAAAGUUUAAGCACCGAAGCCGUUGUGUAAUUGUGUGGCGUCAGUGUGGCUGGCAGCCCUGCAUUGAUGCGAUCCCCCUGUGUAAUUGCCCACGCAAAUUCGAGCAAUCUGUAACGGACGCAGGAACCCACAUUCGCCUGCAGAUUCUUCUCCCUCCAGAAAAUCUUCAAUAAUUCGAAGAACCUUUUGUCAUCUUUAAAAUGCUCCAUGGACAGGAUGGUCUCAGUAUCCUUCUCAUAUGGGCUACAUUGACAGUCAAAAUUUAAAUCGUCAGUAUUCAGAUGCAUGCUUGCCUCUUCCAGUCAUUAAAUCACCCUUCUUCAGAGAGAUAAAGAUUAUUCCAGAGGCUUAGUAAAACUUUAAACACUUUAUUAAAAACAAAGAUAUUUAGGUUUCUAAAAGCAGACUGUUUCAAACUCAUGAAUUGGUUACUUGGGAAAUGGCCACGCAAUCUGUAAGGUAGUAUUCUUACAAUGAAACAUCAGCCUGGCAAAUAUGCACAAAGAGAGUCACUUUAAACAACUCAACUGAAGACAUAUUUCCCUUCUUUUGUGUCAAACAGUAAUAAUUAGGAUGCAAAUCCAGAGGGGAUCCUUUUUAGACUAUUGUAUAUCGAAAUAAAGUGGCAAAAGCAAUUUUCCCCCCUGGGAAUGAGACUUAACAAAACCUAAUCUCUCAUUUCUAAACUAUGCUGUUUCUUUCUUUUCCUUUCUCCCCACCCCUUUCUCUCUCUCUCUCGUUCAUCUAAAUAUGAUUUGAUCUAAAUCUAAAGAAAACACUGAGAUCCUAAUUAUAUAUAUAUACACACAGAAAGUGAACACAAAGAUGAUAGCUUCGAAUAGCACAUUUUUGACACAGCAAAUACUUCAUUUACUUAACAUAUUUCUGGGCCAGUGUAUUCAUUCAACAACAUUGGAGAUGUGUGUGUAUAUGUAUAUAUACAUAUAUAUAUGCUACACAGAUAAACUGAACUUUAGCCUUGUUGAGAGAUGUGCUAAAUAUGCGAGAACGUUCAAAAUUAAAUCAGAGAAGAGGUAACCCCAAAUUACUAGCUGAGGAAAAAGGUGGUAACAAAUAGUGUAAGGACACCAGGUACUGCUGAACUGUGUGCUCCUCAUGACGUUCCCUGGACACGCUUCAUUUUGUUUCUGCCAUCUCUGUGUUUGAUUCUGUUACUGCUCACUUAAGAAAUUCUGGCCUGCUCGUGGCCAGGCUCACCCUUUACAUUUCCUGCUGCAUUUGAAUUUGGGGAGUUCUUUACAGCAAGCAGGAGAACAACUGUUUCAGAGACUUGCUCCGAAGCAGACAAUGAAACCUCCCUGCACUGACACUGCCAGAGUUUUCAGGGUCCAGAAUUAGGUUUUGUUCUGUUGUUUAAUGAAUCCUCUGAGUUUUUAUUUUUUCCAGCCCAGACAUUUUUCUUUAGAUUUAAAUCUUCCCCCCCCAUGUGUUUAGAUUUUUGUCCUGCUUAAAGGGAGUUGACACUAUUUCUGGGGAUGAGACUGUAUUUUAUCUUUCUGCAAUUCAUUAAGAGUCAGCAGGAGAAAUGGAUUUUAAAAUAAUUGUACGGCAAAGUAAAUUGAGCAGACUGUGUUUAAUGACCUAAGGUAAGUGGAUAAAGUAUGAUAAAUUUUGAUACCUGAAAAACAACUGAAUUCCUGUAGUGUUAAUAUUAGAUAAUGUUAUUAUGCUAACAAAAUUUUAAAGAUGAUUUCUAAUCCAACCCAAUGUGUAUGUAAAUAUAAAAUACCUAUAAAUGUAUAGACCACUCAGAUUUUAGAAAUAAACACAUACAAUUUUAAUUGCAUUUGACUCAUUUCAUAAAUUGACUUCUAAAUUAUAGUGACUGCCAUUUGUGGGAUAUCUAGAUGUGAGAUAAUCUAAGACUGUCCUUUAUGAAGUAAAAGGGUGUAUUUAAAAAAAAUUGUCCUGAUGACCAUAUUUUUUAUGAUCACUAGAGGCAGGCUCAGAUCUAUCUGUAGUAAGGCUGUUUUAUAUUUAACCCAUAUAUGUAACUUUUUAUUCUGUCUUUAGAAGACGACCUCCUUUAGGUUUGGUCCUGUUUUAUUUGAGAAGAGUAAGUAAGACAAUUAUGUGGAAAACACUUUAAAAAUUAAAUACAGCUUGGUCCUCCAGUGUAGAAGGGAACUGAAUAAAAGCCAGCAUCUUUCUUUUACAGUUGGAAAACCCAAGACCUGAAGGGUCCCAAGAGAACAGGUCCAGCUGGUGGCCAAGUCAGGGGGGAGCCCCCCUCUGCUCUGCAUUGUGUGGUGCCCUUAAUGGUCUGCACACUGUCCCUCUUGGCCAGGA